AUUGAACGCUGGCGGCAUGCCUUACACAUGCAAGUCGAACGGCAGCACGGGUGCUUGCACCUGGUGGCGAGUGGCGAACGGGUGAGUAAUACAUCGGAACGUACCUUAUCGUGGGGGAUAACGCAGCGAAAGUUGCGCUAAUACCGCAUACGCCCUGAGGGGGAAAGCGGGGGACCGUAAGGCCUCGCGCGAUUAGAGCGGCCGAUGUCUGAUUAGCUUGUUGGUGAGGUAAAAGCUCACCAAGGCGAUGAUCAGUAGCUGGUCGGAGAGGCCGAUCAGCAACACUGGGACUGGGACACGGCCCAGACUCCUACGGGAGGCAGCAGUGGGGAAUUUUGGACAAUGGGGGCAACCCUGAUCCAGCAAUGCCGCGUGAGUGAAGAAGGCCUUCGGGUUGUAAAGCUCUUUUGUCAGGGAAGAAACAGCAGCUCUAACACAGUCUGCGAAUGACGGUACCUGAAGAAUAAGCACCGGCUAACUACGUGCCAGCCGCCGCAGUAA
RNAcentral lists this ribosomal RNA (501 nucleotides) under uncultured bacterium. RNAcentral describes it as "partial 16S ribosomal RNA". It matches the Rfam family "Bacterial small subunit ribosomal RNA", at positions 30 to 523 of the family's 1533-position model. The record is from RNAcentral.